Molecule: ribosomal RNA, 402 nt
Filed under: uncultured Asticcacaulis sp.
Lineage: Bacteria; Pseudomonadati; Pseudomonadota; Alphaproteobacteria; Caulobacterales; Caulobacteraceae
Description: bacterial SSU rRNA
Rfam family: Bacterial small subunit ribosomal RNA
Source: RNAcentral
AGUGGGGAAUCUUGCGCAAUGGGCGAAAGCCUGACGCAGCCAUGCCGCGUGAAUGAUGAAGGUCUUAGGAUUGUAAAAUUCUUUUAGCAGGGACGAUAAUGACGGUACCUGCAGAAAAAGCCCCGGCUAACUUCGUGCCAGCAGCCGCGGUAAUACGAAGGGGGCUAGCGUUGCUCGGAAUUACUGGGCGUAAAGGGAGCGUAGGCGGGUUAUCAAGUUGGAGGUGAAAGCCCAGGGCUCAACCUUGGAAUUGCCUUCAAAACUGAUAACCUAGAGUAUGAUAGAGGUAUGUGGAACUCCGAGUGUAGAGGUGAAAUUCGUAGAUAUUCGGAAGAACACCAGUGGCGAAGGCGACAUACUGGGUCAUGACUGACGCUGAGGCUCGAAAGCGUGGGGAGCAAA